GACUCAUAAUGGUCCAAACAGGUUCUAAUUGAGAUAACAAGACAAAUUUUAAAACACCUUAAUGGGACAUAUACAAACAAAAUAUUAAAAUAAAAUUUAGUUGUUUUUAAACAAAAGUUGAAUGACUCAUAAUGGUCCAAACAGGUUCUAAUUGAGAUAACAAGACAAAUUUUAAAACACCUUAAUGGGACAUAUACAAACAAAAUAUUAAAAUAAAAUUUAGUUGUUUUUAAACAAAAAGAAAAUUAAUUACAUAAACAUUUUUUUUAAAAACUUCACACAUUACAAACCAUUCAAGAACAGUUGCAUAAUUAUCCACAAUACAAAUCCAAAUAAAAGUUGUUGCAACAAUGACAGGUUGAGAACAAAGCUUUUGAAGAACCAACGGCCAAAAUCUUUCUUCAGGCCAAAACGCUCCUAAAUCCAAUUGCCUCAUAGAGUGGAUCCAACCUUCCAUUCCAUCAAGUCACUUCACGUUGUAACCUGCAGAGUGAAAAAACAGCUUAAAUAAAAAGCCCUUUCCAAAAGCGCUUAAAGAACUGAAAAAUAAUUAAUAAGUUAAUUAGUUUAACACUUUAUCCAGAAGACCAACAUGAAUACCCAAAAAGCAUUUCGAAAAUGGCUUAAAACAGUAACAAAUUUACAAAACAGAUCCCACAUAAUCUGGAAGGAAAGGCCAUAACUAAAAGGAGUUUUUUUAUAAGACUCAAAAAGUUCAUCAGUUGAGGGGAGAGGAGACAAAAGUUAACAGCAAGAGAAAGAGAGACGAGAGGACAAAGUUUUUCGAACCCAAAAAUCAAACAGAGAAAACAUUCUUACAAUCCCAGAGAUUAAUCAAAAAUAAUUUUUUUUAAGAACACCCAAACACAUAGUGUUCAAAACCAGCAAAUCGAAAGGAGAAAGAAGAGAAAAAAACCCAGUCGUCAUUCUGCACAAAUUUCGACCGAAAUCCAAAUCCCAAAACUCUGCAAAAUUCCAAGAAAACUUGUUCAAAAUUUCCUGAAUCAAAAUUUAUGAAACAAGUGAGCUCAAACCUUAACCGCAUUACUCGUCCGAGAAACCAAAUAUACGAAGAGUAGUAGAAAAACAAAGGGGAUAUAGCUUACCUCAUUAAAGAAUCGCUUGCGGAAGAAGGCCUUUGUUGGAAUUCGAAAGAUCUCGCCAACCCGGAGAUUUUCAGAACUUCUGAUUUGGUAAACCAUUUGCGUCUACCUUCUUCUAUGAGUUUCCUUUUUAUCAUCCAUUAGGCUUUGCUGCAACUUUUAUUCUUCUGUGUUGAACCGAAUCCAUGGCAUCUGAUUUUUUUUACGUGAUUUUUGCUUUGUGUGCGUUUGAGAUCUAUUCUUCGUUUGAGCUUGGUUUUUGCAUGUUGUUUUUGUUGUUAUGUGCCAUGAAAUCGUGAAAAGGAGAGAGAGAGUCGAUUCAUAAAACAGAGUUAAGAGAGAGGGAGAGAGUGAAGCGACGGAGAGAGAAAGUCAUGAGAGAGUGGAGGAUCGUUUGAUAAUGAGACUUGUUUUAGGUUUGACUAAUGGAAAGAGAGAGAAUUGUUUUUUUCCAGAAUCAGUGUGAAGAG
RNAcentral lists this long non-coding RNA (1573 nucleotides) under Lathyrus oleraceus (garden pea). RNAcentral describes it as "Pisum sativum (pea) long non-coding RNA (PSAT_LNC034685)". Lineage: Eukaryota; Viridiplantae; Streptophyta; Magnoliopsida; Fabales; Fabaceae. The record is from RNAcentral.